UACGUGCCAGCAGCCGCGGUAAUACGUAGGGUCCGAGCGUUGUCUGGAAUUAUUGGGCGUAAAGAGCUCGUAGGCGGUUCGUCGCGUCUGCCGUGAAAUCCUCAGGCUCAACUUGAGGCGUGCGGUGGGUACGGGCGGGCUAGAGUGCGGUAGGGGAGAAUGGAACUCCUGGUGUAGCGGUGGAAUGCGCAGAUAUCAGGAAGAACACCGAUGGCGAAGGCAGUUCUCUGGGCCGUAACUGACGCUGAGGAGCGAAAGCGUGGGGAGCGAACAGGAUUAGAUACCCUGGUAGUCCACGCCGUAAACGUUGGGCGCUAGAUGUGGGGACCAUUCCACGGUUUCCGUGUCGUAGCUAACGCAUUAAGCGCCCCGCCUGGGGAGUACGGCCGCAAGGCUAAAACUCAAAGGAAUUGACGGGGGCCCGCACAAGCGGCGGAGCAUGCGGAUUAAUUCGAUGCAACGCGAAGAACCUUACCAAGGCUUGACAUAUACCGGUAACGGCUAGAGAUGGUCGCCCCCUUGUGGUCGGUAUACAGGUGGUGCAUGGUUGUCGUCAGCUCGUGUCGUGAGAUGUUGGGUUAAGUCCCGCAACGAGCGCAACCCUCGUUCUAUGUUGCCAGCGGUUCGGCCGGGGACUCAUAGGAGACUGCCGGGGUCAACUCGGAGGAAGGUGGGGAUGACGUCAAAUCAUCAUGCCCCUUAUGUCUUGGGCUUCACGCAUGCUACAAUGGCCGGUACAAAGGGCUGCGAUGUCGUAAGGCGGAGCGAAUCCCAAAAAGCCGGUCUCAGUUCGGAUUGAGGUCUGCAACUCGACCUCAUGAAGUCGGAGUCGCUAGUAAUCGCAGAUCAGCAACGCUGCGGUGAAUACGUUCCCGGGCCUUGUACACACCGCCCGUCAAGUCAUGAAAGUCGGUAACACC
Molecule: ribosomal RNA, 920 nt
Filed under: Gryllotalpicola sp.
Lineage: Bacteria; Bacillati; Actinomycetota; Actinomycetes; Micrococcales; Microbacteriaceae
Description: bacterial SSU rRNA
Rfam family: Bacterial small subunit ribosomal RNA
Source: RNAcentral